UACGUAGGGUGCAAGCGUUGUCCGGAAUUAUUGGGCGUAAAGAGCUCGUAGGCGGUUUGUCGCGUCUGCUGUGAAAACUCAGGGCUUAACUCUGAGCUUGCAGUGGGUACGGGCAGACUUGAGUGCGGUAGGGGAGAUUGGAAUUCCGGGUGUAGCGGUGGAAUGCGUAGAGAUCCGGAAGAACACCGGUGGCGAAGGCGGCGAUCUGGGUCGAUACUGACGCUGAGGUGCGAAAGCGUGGGGAGCGAACAGGA
Molecule: ribosomal RNA, 254 nt
Filed under: uncultured bacterium
Lineage: Bacteria
Description: partial 16S ribosomal RNA
Rfam family: Bacterial small subunit ribosomal RNA
Source: RNAcentral